This 859-nucleotide ribosomal RNA is filed under the name Vibrio parahaemolyticus. Its description in RNAcentral is "partial 23S ribosomal RNA". It matches the Rfam family "Bacterial large subunit ribosomal RNA", at positions 84 to 995 of the family's 2925-position model. Lineage: Bacteria; Pseudomonadati; Pseudomonadota; Gammaproteobacteria; Vibrionales; Vibrionaceae. The record is from RNAcentral.
AGGUAGUAACAACCAUUUGAGUCUGGGAUUUCUGAAUGGGGAAACCCACUUACAUAAGUAAGUAUCCUUACCUGAAUACAUAGGGUAAGGAGGCGAACCGGGGGAACUGAAACAUCUAAGUACCCCGAGGAAAAGAAAUCAACCGAGAUUCCGAAAGUAGCGGCGAGCGAAAUUGGACUAGCCCUUAAGCUUUACACGCGUUAGACGAACGGUCUGGAAAGUCCGACGAUACAGGGUGAUAGUCCCGUAGUUGACGACGUGUGUUCAGUGAAAUCGAGUAGGGCGGGACACGUGAUAUCCUGUCUGAAUAUGGGGGGACCAUCCUCCAAGGCUAAAUACUACUGACUGACCGAUAGUGAACCAGUACCGUGAGGGAAAGGCGAAAAGAACCCCUGUGAGGGGAGUGAAAUAGAACCUGAAACCGUGUACGUACAAGCAGUAGGAGCAGGCUUUGUCCUGUGACUGCGUACCUUUUGUAUAAUGGGUCAGCGACUUAUAUUCAGUGGCAAGGUUAACCAUCUAGGGGAGCCGUAGGGAAACCGAGUCUUAACUGGGCGUUCAGUCUCUGGAUAUAGACCCGAAACCAGGUGAUCUAGCCAUGGGCAGGUUGAAGGUUGAGUAACAUCAACUGGAGGACCGAACCGACUAAUGUUGAAAAAUUAGCGGAUGACUUGUGGCUAGGGGUGAAAGGCCAAUCAAACCUGGAGAUAGCUGGUUCUCCCCGAAAGCUAUUUAGGUAGCGCCUCGGACGAAUACUACUGGGGGUAGAGCACUGUUAAGGCUAGGGGGUCAUCCCGACUUACCAACCCUUUGCAAACUCCGAAUACCAGUAAGUACUAUCCGGGAGACACACGGCGGG